UAUGCCCAUAGAAUAGCUUUGCACUUGUUCAAUUCACUCUUCUCUUUUAUUCCCUUAGAGGUUUUCUCUUUGGUUUUCUAUAAAUUGCAAAUAACUUGCAGCAAUGCAUUCUUUGCAGAGAAACCAGCACCAUAAAGCUCUAAUGCUGGCUGGGUGUUUUGGAUGCUUCUGGGGUAAGAAUAAUACGAAACACCAAACCUAGUUAUUAAAGGAGCCAUUUCUUUUGUCAUGGGGUGGCAUGAGGCAUCACAGUGAGGCAUAAGGCCAAGUUUUGUUUCCAGCCUUUGGUCAGAUGCUGUAAGUUGGCCAGGGCACAGGAGGAUAUUUUAGCACAAGGCUUUUGCUUGGCGGGCACUAAGGAACUUGUCGCUUACUUUGGCUGUUUCAUGCUGCCAGAUAACAAGAUUUUUUCCUAGUCUGUUGUUCACUGCUGCUUUGCUUGGUGCAUCUCUCUCCUGCCUGGUAACAACUUCUUCUAUUCUGGUCCUGUUUUUUCUGCCAGCAACCACUAGGGUGGUUUUCUGUAAAUGGGCAAACCCUUACAGUAUUCGCUAGUUAAAGAAUGCAAAAUUUUUGUCAUUAGUAACGUAAACCCCCCAUUUGGAGUCUUGGCUUCAGCAACAAAAAUCUUGUGGAUUAACCACUUUCACCAGCGAGAGGCUUUCUGAUGAGCUGUGGGAAGAAGUGUAUGCUUGGCGGUAGGUCUACAGUAAACAGCUGGAAUUUGCAUGUGGUGAAUUAGCACCAAAUAAAAUCCCCCUUUUUUUGCUUAAUUAUCCUUGCAUACUCAAGUGGAUCUAUUAAACGUUUGUGCAAUAGAAAUUGGUAAACCCACACACUUACAAUAAGUGGGUUUUGAUUGUCCACAGACCGAGAUUUGUCUGCUCUGCUGGUGGCAGGGCCUGUGUAGGUAAUGUAAUGGUCUAUGAUCUGAUGAAGGGACCACUCUCUUCCCAGACUCGUCCUUGGCAGGCAGUGAUGCCCUGAGCCGGACUGAAGCACUGCAGUCAUUGAAAGCCCUUGCUUCAACUCUGAAUCUUUAACUACUUUACAUUAACUUUGAGACCUACUGUUUUGAAUCCUAUGAAGCUGCAAGCAUAAGCAGGUUGAAGAUACGCUGCAUUUAUAUUUCACAGGCUUCUUAGUUGUUGGUUUUCUCUAAAGAGGUAGUAAAAGGUAAAAUGUUUCUGACAAGUGCUUGAAGUCCUUAUUUCUCUGAAGACGACAAGAGGGCUAAUGGGUUCCUUACAGCUGAUGUUGCAUUUCUUUCUUCUUUGCAAUUUAGGGUGAGAUUUCUAAAAGCCUUUUUCAGUUGGAAGCCUAGUGAUGUUUUCCAGAGUGUUGAAACAGGAAGAAAACCUUAGCAUCCCAGACCAGGCAAGCAGUGAUUAUUAUCUCAGCCAAGCAGACGCUACUUCUGUGGCUCAGUGAAGUUACGGUUGUUGCAGGAGGAGUGUGCCAGCCAGAGAGACAACAUUUAAAGCCCAUGGCCUGAAGGUAUGAGUAUUUACCCGGGAGGAUGGGGAGCAGAAUUUUAGUCCUUGCUUUGACCUGGCUGAAAGCUGGUGGUUAAGAGGUUCAUUUCCCAUAUUUCUGGCAGAUAUGUCCCUUUUCCUGGGGCUGCAGAUGCUUGCUUGCUUGCUUGCUUUCUAAAGCAGAUCUUUGUAUCCAUGAGGAGACUCACAGAGUAAAUUCAUACAUUAAUCCAGAAGUUCUUGUCCUGGUCUGUCAUGUGGAAAAAUGAAUGUGUUUGGGCACACUUUCUAGGUUUUUGGCUUCAUCUCAGAAUGUCUGUGUUUACAGCAGGCCAUUUUCCUGUUACAGCUGGUCUCCUUUUGGCUAACUUCCUUCUUAGCCCAGUAGUUUUGUCAGUGACCCGACUUAGGAGAAAUGUGUCCAUAGCUGACAGGCUUCUGGCUAUUUGUGGAGUCGCUUUUUUCCCCCAUCAUGUUCUACUUUGUAUUAGGUCCUUAUGCUGGAGAAGAGGCUUUCUGGCACGUUAGCCCCCUUGCGAAUGCAAGGGAACAAACUGCAGUUGUGUUACUGGAGAGGUUAGUGGGCAUUUCUUAGUCUCUGCAGUGUCCUUCAUUUUCUGCUUGUCUUGUUUUAGCCUAAUUAGCUGCCAUGUAGAUCAGAGCAGGAGGCCAUCAGGAAAUGGAAUGGUUGCUUCAAAGCCUUGUGCACUUUAGUGGUUUCAAAGGAGUGCAGAUGACUGAUGCUCUGGAUUCUGCUGUCCUACAGCCUGGAGCGAAGAUUGGGUCUUUAAGGUCCCACAUGUGCUGCAAAUUGACCUAACCAUCAAGCUAUCACUUGUACAACUAACUUACUGCCUUUUGUUAGCUAAUCCAAAGGGGAAACUACAACAGAAGAUAAUUCUCUAGAGCUGGUGAGUCCCUAAAAGCCCAACUAGUGAAUCUGUCAUCACUUUCUGUGUAAGAAGCCAAAGUUAGCCUGCAGCAUUGUUCUUUUAUGUAACAGAGGGGAAAUGGCUCUGUUCCAGGUGAUCCAGAAGCCUGAGGAGCCAGACCAUCCUGUGAUGUUGGCCUGAUUAGCUGUAAAUAAUCCUGGCUCAACUGCCCUGUUCUGUGUCUUUGCCCUUCGGUGGUUUUUUGGUGAGGGGAGGGAGAAGGAUGUGUAUUUCCUAGCUACUAGGAUAUCUCCUGUGUUUAUGAAUGGGACUACCUGUACUGUGGUCUGUGCAGAAGUGGUUUUGGUGCAUGCGUGGAAUGAAGUAUGGAGGGAGAGAGUGGGUUUAUGAAUGCUUGUGCAGAAGCAUCUGGGUAAUUAACUCAGCCAUUAGGUAGGAGCAUUUAAAUCCUUUUAGACAUUUUCUGUGGGAAAUACAGGGUAAUCAUCUCCUCGGGCACGCAAGAGAGGCAUAGUUAGAUGCUGACUUCUGCCUAAAUUUCACAUCGGGAAUUUAGGAGUCGUUUUUGAGUCUCACCUGGAAUACUUUAUUUGGUAUCACAAGGAUUUAAACCUGGUCUUACUGCCAGGGUAACACCACCAUCACCAGGCCUUUUUUACUAGCUCAUCCGUCUCCACUGACAAGCUGGCACGGUACAGCGAGGGCCCAGGCCAGUUUGCUCUUUCAGUCUUGCAGGAACAAAUGCUGAUUAGCAGUGGGGAGCAGGAGCGGACACUGACCCAAGUCGCAGAGGGUAUUCCAGGGUAGCGCUGAUACUCUGUUUCAGGUACUCCCAUGGGAGCAUCCUAAGCCUUGCAUAUUAGUUAACCUUUCCCAUAGUUGCUACAUGUGAAAGGGCUUUGAUCUAUGAAUGAACCCAACACAUGGUGCUUGCUCACUGUAUGUUAACAGCAGAGAUGUUAUUUUUAGCUCCUGAAUUCUUUUUCUCCUUCACUGUUAGAGCUGAAAGACCUUUCGUCCUUAAGACAGGCAACUGUUCACUACAUAAAGUGUAUGUGGGACAACGUGCUAUAUAAGGCUAACAUCUCUAUUGGGAACAAUUUUUUUUUCAAAAUGGGUAAGUGGCUUUUUAAAUAGCCAUUAAAAAACCUAAAUAAAGUAGUCAUGUUUUAAAAAGUUUUAAAAAGAACUGUUAUCUUUGGAACAUGUAAUUUACAGAACUCACUACAGUAAUCCUUGAUUUAGAAGAUUACUGCACUAAAGUACUUGCUUUUUUCCCUUUAAAAACAAAACCAAACCCCAGACCGAAAACCAGACAGGUUUCCAGCAAAGGCUGGGAUAAUUGACUGGAAUGGAAACGUAGCUAAGUCUUGCAAAACUCCAGUAUACAGUUGCUGUCCUCUCAGAGGUCUUUUCUGCUGCCAUCUGAAAACAUUCCCUUGCCUUGUCACUUCUUUUGCUUUUUUUUAAACUGUAUUGGGUUUGCGUGGCAAGGUUUUGGUAGCAGGGAGGCUACAGGGGCAGCUUCUGUGAGAAGCUGCUAGAAGCUUCCCCCAUGUCCCAUAGGGCCAAUGCCAGCCAGUUCCAAGAUGGACCCACCUCUGGCCGAGGCUGAGCCCAUCAAGCGAUGGUGGUAGCGCCUCAGGGAUGACAUAUUUAAGAAGAGG
This is a long non-coding RNA of Aquila chrysaetos chrysaetos, 4035 nucleotides long. RefSeq lists it as uncharacterized. The transcript is spliced from 2 exons. NCBI's taxonomy places the organism in Eukaryota, Metazoa, Chordata, Aves, Accipitriformes, Accipitridae. The record is from RefSeq and is a predicted model, not a curated record.